This 71-nucleotide transfer RNA is filed under the name Anaerohalosphaera lusitana. RNAcentral describes it as "Phycisphaerae bacterium ST-NAGAB-D1 tRNA". It matches the Rfam family "tRNA". From Rfam's summary of the family: Transfer RNA (tRNA) molecules are approximately 80 nucleotides in length. Their secondary structure includes four short double-helical elements and three loops (D, anti-codon, and T loops). The record is from Rfam by way of RNAcentral. Lineage: Bacteria; Pseudomonadati; Planctomycetota; Phycisphaerae; Sedimentisphaerales; Anaerohalosphaeraceae.
GCGGGUGUAGCUUAGUGGUAAAGCGCCAGCUUCCCAAGCUGGAUACCAGGGUUCGAUUCCCUGUACCCGCA